This 468-nucleotide ribosomal RNA is filed under the name uncultured bacterium. Its description in RNAcentral is "partial 16S ribosomal RNA". It matches the Rfam family "Bacterial small subunit ribosomal RNA", at positions 28 to 507 of the family's 1533-position model. The record is from RNAcentral.
GACGAACGCUGGCGGCGUGCUUAACACAUGCAAGUCGAACGGAAAGGCCCUGCUUUUGUGGGGUGCUCGAGUGGCGAACGGGUGAGUAACACGUGAGUAACCUGCCCUUGACUUUGGGAUAACUUCAGGAAACUGGGGCUAAUACCGGAUAGGAGCUCCUGCUGCAUGGUGGGGGUUGGAAAGUUUCGGCGGUUGGGGAUGGACUCGCGGCUUAUCAGCUUGUUGGUGGGGUAGUGGCUUACCAAGGCUUUGACGGGUAGCCGGCCUGAGAGGGUGACCGGCCACAUUGGGACUGAGAUACGGCCCAGACUCCUACGGGAGGCAGAAGGGGGGAAUAUUGCACAAUGGGCGGAAGCCUGAGGCAGCAACGCCGCGUGCGGGAUGACGGCCUUCGGGUUGUAAACCGCUUUCGCCUGUGACGAAGCGGGAGUGACGGUAAUGGGUAAAGAAGCACCGGCUAACUACGUG